Gasterosteus aculeatus aculeatus (three-spined stickleback) is the source of this 568-nucleotide long non-coding RNA. The record is from Ensembl. NCBI's taxonomy places the organism in Eukaryota, Metazoa, Chordata, Actinopteri, Perciformes, Gasterosteidae.
GAAAGCUGGAAUAUUGAUGUCAGCAGACAUAUCAAUGCAACCUUGGGUUCAAACGUGACCAUUCAAUGUCACUUCACCGUUCCAACUAAACAUUACACGGAAAUACAGAGGAAAGACCCGGCUCAUGGGAAAUAAAAGCGCAGGGAACUGCUCCCUCAAGAUCUUCAAUAUCAGGGAUAAUGUCCCAAACAUCUAUGUGAGACUUAUUGCAAAGGGGGACAACUACAGUUUUUCACAAAAUAGUGUCUCCAUUGCUGUAACUGGUACAACACAGCUAACUCCCAUCACUCAAGGACAACCAGUGGGAGCAGACCCGGAGAAUGAUCUACUAAAGCAUGUGUCCAUCUCCGUACCAGUUGUUGCCAUUCUGACCAUCAUUGUUGUUGUUGGAAUUGUCCUUGGCAUAAAACACAAAAGGUCAGCAUCCUUUAUCAGGGAGGAUUCAAGAUAUUAUGCUAAUUUCAGCCGAGCAAACCAACUGCAAAGGGAAGCGUCUUGCCAGAAACCAGAGAACAGUAAAGUUUCUGAACAGAAAGACAUUGAGGAACCGGUUUACGCCAACAUUGAG